Molecule: ribosomal RNA, 485 nt
Filed under: uncultured bacterium
Lineage: Bacteria
Description: bacterial SSU rRNA
Rfam family: Bacterial small subunit ribosomal RNA
Source: RNAcentral
CUACGUGCCAGCAGCCGCGGUAAUACGGAGGAUGCGAGCGUUAUCCGGAUUUAUUGGGUUUAAAGGGUGCGUAGGUGGGCUGUUAAGUCCGCGGUGAAAGUUUGUCGCUUAACGAUAAAAUUGCCGUUGAAACUGGUAGUCUUGAGUAUAGAUGAAGUAGGCGGAAUGCGUGGUGUAGCGGUGAAAUGCAUAGAGAUCACGCAGAACUCCGAUUGCGAAGGCAGCUUACUAAGGUAUAACUGACACUGAAGCACGAAAGCGUGGGUAUCAAACAGGAUUAGAUACCCUGGUAGUCCACGCAGUAAACGAUGAUUACUAGGUGUUGGGGGUCGAACCUCAGCGCCCAAGCUAACGCGAUAAGUAAUCCGCCUGGGGAGUACGUACGCAAGUAUGAAACUCAAAGGAAUUGACGGGGACCCGCACAAGCGGUGGAGCAUGUGGUUUAAUUCGACGCAACGCGAGGAACCUUACCAGCGUUUGACAUC